Molecule: non-coding RNA, 410 nt
Organism: Drosophila melanogaster (fruit fly)
Lineage: Eukaryota; Metazoa; Arthropoda; Insecta; Diptera; Drosophilidae
Source: Ensembl
AAAGUUGUUGCAACAAUAUCAGUCUGCAACAAUAUACUCUCGUUUAGCUACUCUCUCUCUCGAUGUCAACUUACCUUGGACUUGUGGCUAUUCUUUUUUGCACCGUUAUCGUAGGAAUCGAAAGUGCAUCUCUCAAUCGAAAUCGGCACAAUCCAGCUCAACAACAGAAAAAAUAUGGAGUACGAACUUAUGGUGCCUCAGGAAGUUCCCAAAGUUUUGGGCCACCUACUAGUCCGGAUUUUCCACCGCUGAGUUAUGACAAUGUCUAUUCUUCAGGUCAAUUCGGACAAUUUUCCACUGGGGGAUCUUUUCCCUUAGGACCGCCACCAUCAUCUGGUGGAUGUUCACUCGGCUGUGGAUCGUUUAAUGUGCUGGCUGGGAAAAGCAAAGACAGGUUUUCAAACAAUUAA